Molecule: ribosomal RNA, 1116 nt
Filed under: Triticum aestivum (bread wheat)
Lineage: Eukaryota; Viridiplantae; Streptophyta; Magnoliopsida; Poales; Poaceae
Description: partial small subunit ribosomal RNA
Source: RNAcentral
AUGUGCAAAAUUAUCUGUUCGUCGGCGUCCCUUCAAGGCUUCAACAACCCUUCGGUAGGGUUCCGGCGACUCCGGAUGGCCGGUCGCCACCGUAACCCGCUGCCUUCUUCCUUCUCCCGCGGCGCCGGUGCCGGAAACCACCCGCACCCUCCUCCGCCCCAUCACCCUCAUCUCCCGCCUUACCACCUCGACGAAUUCCGCGAGCCGCCGCGCCUCCCCCCGCACCACCUCGAUGACUUCCGAGACCCGGCUCGCCUGCCACCAGGCCACCCCGACAGCCUCCGCGAGCAUCCUCCGCCGCCGCGCCACCACUUGGCGGGCCACGGCGGAGGGACCCUGCCCCCAGCAUCGCACAUGGCCGCGGCGCUGGAGGAGCGUAUCGGCGCGGAGAUUGAGGAGGCGCACGCGCUGCUCGGACAGAACCAGCGACUCUCUGCGACGCACGUGGCGCUCGUGCAGGAGGUCUCCGCCGUGCGGCACGAGCUUGGCCACACCGCUCGAGCCAUCGGCGCCGCCCAGCAAGAGGGAGAUCUCCGUAUUCGCGAGGUCUAUGAGAGGUUAAUGAAAAUGGAAGCAGAGCUCCGAGCAGUAGAGGAGAUGAGAGCGGAACUUGCACAUGUUCGUAUGGACAUUCAACAGCUGGGUGCAGCAAGACAGGAACUCAUGGGUCAGAUCCAGGGAUAUACACAAGAUUUGGCUCGUUCAGCAGUAGAGUUGCAGCAGGUGGCUGCAGUGAAAGCUGAGACCCAAGAACUCAGGCAUGAAACACAGCAUUUAAGAUCCAGUAUUGAGCUUGAGAAGAAAGGAUAUGCAGAGAGUUAUGAGCAGGGACAAGAGAUGCAGAAGAAAUUGGUCUCAGUUGCUUCUGAAGUGGAGAAACUUCGUGCUGAGGUUGCUAAUGCUGAGAAGAGAUCACGAGCUGCUGUAUCUGCAGGCAAUCAAGGUUACGCUGGAAGCUAUGGAAAUCCUAAUGCCAAUUAUGCUGCAAAUCCUUACAAUGCUGGAUACAGCAUGACUCAAGCAAAUGCUACUGAUUCUGGUUCUCAGUAUGGGGCUGGGGCAGCGCAUAGUUCCUGGGGCGCCUACGACAUGCAAAGAGCUCCAGGACGGAGAUGA